AGAUUGAACGCUAGCGGGAUGCUUUACACAUGCAAGUCGAACGGCAGCGCGGACUUCGGUCUGGCGGCGAGUGGCGAACGGGUGAGUAAUAUAUCGGAACGUGCCCAGUAGCGGGGGGAUAACUACGCGAAAGCGUGGCUAAUACCGCAUACGCCCUACGGGGGAAAGGGGGGGAUUCUUCGGAACCUCUCACUAUUGGAGCGGCCGAUACCAGAUUAGCUAGUUGGUGAGGUAAAGGCUCACCAAGGCGACGAUCUGUAGCUGGUUUGAGAGGACGACCAGCCACACUGGGACUGAGACACGGCCCAGACUCCUACGGGAGGCAGCAGUGGGGAAUUUGGACAAGUGGGGGAACCCUGAUCCAGCCAUCCCGCGUGUGCGAUGAAGGCCUUGGUUGUAAAGUCUACGUUUUGGUCGAGGGAAGGAAACGGCGGUAGCCCGUAA
This 444-nucleotide ribosomal RNA is filed under the name uncultured soil bacterium. RNAcentral's name for it is "bacterial SSU rRNA". It matches the Rfam family "Bacterial small subunit ribosomal RNA", at positions 26 to 485 of the family's 1533-position model. The record is from RNAcentral.